Molecule: long non-coding RNA, 832 nt
Organism: Drosophila sulfurigaster albostrigata
Lineage: Eukaryota; Metazoa; Arthropoda; Insecta; Diptera; Drosophilidae
Exons: 4
Source: RefSeq, a predicted model, not a curated record
CUAGAUCUAAAUGACAACUCGAUAUGACGUUUAAAUAAUAUUGAAAAAUAACUCAGAUACCUUUGCAAACAUAAUCUUAGUAAGGUUAUCUAGCCGAUUGUGUAGUCUAGAUGUAUAGUCUAGAGAGUCCAGAGCUCAGAGUCAGUUCAAAUAGAACUACUUAAGUAAAAUGCUCCUCAAUUUCUCAAUUCUUCCCGGACAAACAUCAUCCAGUUGAAUCGAACCCUAAUCCGAAUCGAAUGACUAAAGAUAAUAGUGGCCCAUAAGAAGAAUGAACUGAAGAUGUUGCUGCUGUCAUAAAUGACUAAUCAGUUGCUCAUUGAGUUGCUCGUAAAGAGUCGGGAAAAGACACUUAUUUGCAGAUAACGAGAAACGGUCGAAAUUAAUCGUCGAUUAGAAGAAUGUACUGAAGAUGACUAUUCGUUUCUUACUUCCGUCGAACUGGGGUUACACUAUAAAUCAGCAUUGAUGGCGAUUGCAAACGCUUUCAGCUCUCGUGGAUCGGUGUUAGUGUCGGAAUUCAGGCCAGCGGCUGCGAAAGCCGCCCUGAUGACACGAUGAUGUACCGCUGAAUGCCCAUGGUGCCCUGCAUCUGGAGUAUGAUUUCGUUUCUUCUAAAUUAUUGAGUCUAGAGAGUCCAGAGCUCAGAGUCGGUUCAAAUAAAAUAUUUAACUAAAAUGCUCCUCAAUUUCUCAAUUCUUCUCGGACAAGCAUCAUCCAGUUGAAUCGAACCCUAAUCCGAAUCAGCAUCAAUAGAACCCAUAAAUUGGUUUCUCAUGGAGUCUUUUCGUAAAGAGUCGGGAAAAGAAACUUAUUUGCAGACAACGAGAAA